UGGGGAAUAUUGGACAAUGGGCGAAAGCCUGAUCCAGCCAUGCCGCGUGUGUGAAGAAGGUCUUCGGAUUGUAAAGCACUUUAAGUUGGGAGGAAGGGCAGUAAGCGAAUACCUUGCUGUUUUGACGUUACCGACAGAAUAAGCACCGGCUAACUCUGUGCCAGCAGCCGCGGUAAUACAGAGGGUGCAAGCGUUAAUCGGAAUUACUGGGCGUAAAGCGCGCGUAGGUGGUUCGUUAAGUUGAAUGUGAAAGCCCCGGGCUCAACCUGGGAACUGCAUCCAAAACUGGCGAGCUAGAGUAGGGCAGAGGGGGGUGGAAUUUCCUGUGUAGCGGUGAAAUGCGUAGAUAUAGGAAGGAACACCAGUGGCGAAGGCGACCACCUGGGCUCAUACUGACACUGAGGUGAGAAAGCGUGGGGAGCAAACAGG
RNAcentral lists this ribosomal RNA (429 nucleotides) under Pseudomonadota bacterium. RNAcentral's name for it is "Proteobacteria bacterium partial 16S ribosomal RNA". It matches the Rfam family "Bacterial small subunit ribosomal RNA", at positions 355 to 776 of the family's 1533-position model. The record is from RNAcentral. Lineage: Bacteria; Pseudomonadati; Pseudomonadota.